CGGGCGGGGCCGCGCCCUGCAGGUCGGGGCUCAGAGCGCCCGGGGCGCCAAGCCUGGUAAUGGGACUUUGCUCCCUCCCUGGGCGAGCCCGGGGGCUGGAUCUGAGGCCAAAGCGACGUCUCAGGGUAGCGUUUACGAGCGAAGCUGUUCCACGCGCGACCCAGAGUUCGCUCCUUGAGAAGUGACAAGCCUCAUGCCAGCAUCAAGGACAAGUGAUGAACAAAACAGACUUUCAUGUGUCUCCGUCCUCUAUGGCACAUGGACUCUGCUGUCAUCACACUGGCCUGCAAGCGUACUUGGACUUGGCAAGGAGUUGCCCUUGAAAGCUCAGAAGUGAAAAUGCUACUGCAAAGGCAAGGAUGGGGUCAACAUCCAACUUCUAGCUUCUAUAGUCCUUUAUUAGCAUUAAAAGCUGACACCAUACAAUUAAGUUAACACACUUACUUCAGAGAUACACCAACAGAGUAGCAUUGCCUCAGUCUCUGGGAAAGUGUGUCAUUGGUUAUUAAAAACACUAAAAUUUUUACCAGGUCAUUAAUAUUGAAGAGUUGAACAUCAAGUUGGAUUUCUUUGAUGGGUGUAAUCAAAGUAGCAUUUUUAAUGCUGAAGAGAGUUUAACAGUCUUUGUUCAAUGAAUGAUAAGUAGAAAGGGAUCAUGGAGCACUCUUAGUCUAAUAGAUUCAUUUUAAUAUUGGAAAAUGGAGAUCUAAAAGUAAUAACUAGAUGAAUGUCACAUUGCCACUUUAAGAUUCAAACUUCAGAUACCUUGAUUUUCAAUUUAGUUUAUUUCUAAUUAGCUAAUAAUUCCCAGACUAUUCUCCCUCAAAAUAAAAUACUAAUCCUCUCUCCAUUAGCAGGGAGAAAAAUGUAUUUAGUGAUUCUCAAACUGAUCAAACCCAAACUUUUAUUUUUAUAAGAAAUAUUUUAA
Molecule: non-coding RNA, 928 nt
Organism: Manis javanica (Malayan pangolin)
Lineage: Eukaryota; Metazoa; Chordata; Mammalia; Pholidota; Manidae
Source: RefSeq, a predicted model, not a curated record